This 708-nucleotide ribosomal RNA is filed under the name uncultured Streptococcus sp. RNAcentral's name for it is "bacterial SSU rRNA". It matches the Rfam family "Bacterial small subunit ribosomal RNA", at positions 33 to 726 of the family's 1533-position model. Lineage: Bacteria; Bacillati; Bacillota; Bacilli; Lactobacillales; Streptococcaceae. The record is from RNAcentral.
ACGCUGGCGGCGUGCCUAAUACAUGCAAGUAGAACGCUGAAGGAGGAGCUUGCUUCUCCGGAUGAGUUGCGAACGGGUGAGUAACGCGUAGGUAACCUGCCUGGUAGCGGGGGAUAACUAUUGGAAACGAUAGCUAAUACCGCAUAAUAUUGAUUAUUGCAUGAUAGUCAAUUAAAAGGUGCAAUUGCAUCACUACCAGAUGGACCUGCGUUGUAUUAGCUAGUUGGUGAGGUAACGGCUCACCAAGGCAACGAUACAUAGCCGACCUGAGAGGGUGAUCGGCCACACUGGGACUGAGACACGGCCCAGACUCCUACGGGAGGCAGCAGUAGGGAAUCUUCGGCAAUGGACGGAAGUCUGACCGAGCAACGCCGCGUGAGUGAAGAAGGUUUUCGGAUCGUAAAGCUCUGUUGUAAGAGAAGAACGAGUGUGAGAGUGGAAAGUUCACACUGUGACGGUAUCUUACCAGAAAGGGACGGCUAACUACGUGCCAGCAGCCGCGGUAAUACGUAGGUCCCGAGCGUUGUCCGGAUUUAUUGGGCGUAAAGCGAGCGCAGGCGGUUAGAUAAGUCUGAAGUUAAAGGCUGUGGCUUAACCACAGUACGCUUUGGAAACUGUUUAACUUGAGUGCAAGAGGGGAGAGUGGAAUUCCAUGUGUAGCGGUGAAAUGCGUAGAUAUAUGGAGGAACACCGGUGGCGAAAGCGGCU